RNAcentral lists this ribosomal RNA (482 nucleotides) under uncultured bacterium. RNAcentral describes it as "partial 16S ribosomal RNA". It matches the Rfam family "Bacterial small subunit ribosomal RNA", at positions 28 to 523 of the family's 1533-position model. The record is from RNAcentral.
GAUGAACGCUGGCGGCGUGCCUAAUACAUGCAGGUCGAGCGAACCACUUCGGUGGUGAGCGGCGAACGGGUGAGUAACACGUGGGUGAUCUGCCCAUCAGACGGGGACAACGAUUGGAAACGAUCGCUAAUACCGGAUAGGACGAAAGUUUAAAGGUGCUUCUGGCACCGCUGAUGGAUGAGCCUGCGGCGCAUUAGCUAGUUGGUAGGGUAAAGGCCUACCAAGGCGACGAUGCGUAGCCGACCUGAGAGGGUGAACGGCCACACUGGGACUGAGACACGGCCCAGACUCCUACGGGAGGCAGCAGUAGGGAAUCUUCGGCAAUGGGCGAAAGCCUGACCGAGCAACGCCGCGUGAGUGACGAAGGUUUUCGGAUCGUAAAACUCUGUUGUGAGGGAAGAACAAGUACCAACUAACUACUGGUACCUUGACGGUACCUCACCAGAAAGCCACGGCUAACUACGUGCCAGCCGCCGCAGUAA